This 301-nucleotide ribosomal RNA is filed under the name uncultured bacterium. RNAcentral describes it as "partial 16S ribosomal RNA". It matches the Rfam family "Bacterial small subunit ribosomal RNA", at positions 509 to 807 of the family's 1533-position model. The record is from RNAcentral.
CAGCCGCCGCGGGAAUACGUUGGUGGCAAGCGUUGUCCGGAAUUAUUGGGCGUAAAGGGCUCGCAGGCGGUUUCUUAAGUCUGAUGUGAAAGCCCCCGGCUCAACCGGGGAGGGUCAUUGGAAACUGGGAAACUUGAGUGCAGAAGAGGAGAGUGGAAUUCCACGUGUAGCGGUGAAAUGCGUAGAGAUGUGGAGGAACACCAGUGGCGAAGGCGACUCUCUGGUCUGUAACUGACGCUGAGGAGCGAAAGCGUGGGGAGCGAACAGGAUUAGAUACCCGUGUAGUCCCUGUCUCUUAUAC